UACGUAGGGGGCAAGCGUUGUCCGGAUUUAUUGGGCGUAAAGAGCGUGUAGGCGGUUUGGUAGGUCCGUUGUGAAAACUCGAGGCUCAACCUCGAGACGCCGGCGGAAACCAUCAGGCUAGAGUGCGGAAGAGGAGAGUGGAAUUCCUGGUGUAGCGGUGAAAUGCGCAGAUAUCAGGAAGAACACCCGUGGCUAAGGCGGCUCUCUAGUACGGUACUGACGCUGAGACGCGAAAGCGUGGGGAGCGAACAGG
RNAcentral lists this ribosomal RNA (253 nucleotides) under uncultured bacterium. Its description in RNAcentral is "partial 16S ribosomal RNA". It matches the Rfam family "Bacterial small subunit ribosomal RNA", at positions 524 to 776 of the family's 1533-position model. The record is from RNAcentral.